Molecule: ribosomal RNA, 478 nt
Filed under: uncultured bacterium
Lineage: Bacteria
Description: bacterial SSU rRNA
Rfam family: Bacterial small subunit ribosomal RNA
Source: RNAcentral
GAUGAACGCUGGCGGCGUGCUUAACACAUGCAAGUCGAACGAAGCUGUUAAAAGGAAGUCUUCGGAUGAAAUUUUAACAGACUUAGUGGCGGACGGGUGAGUAACGCGUGGAUAACCUGCCUUAUACAGGGGGAUAACGGAGAGAAAUUUCCGCUAAGACCGCAUAAGACCACAGCACCGCAUGGUGCAGGGGUAAAAUAUUAAUAGGUAUAAGAUGGAUCCGCGUCCGAUUAGCUUGUUGGUGAGGUAGAGGCUCACCAAGGCGACGAUCGGUAGCCGGCCUGAGAGGGUGAACGGCCACAUUGGGACUGAGACACGGCCCAAACUCCUACGGGAGGCAGCAGUGGGGAAUAUUGGACAAUGGGGGAAACCCUGAUCCAGCGACGCCGCGUGAGUGAAGAAGUAUUUCGGUAUGUAAAGCUCUAUCAGCAGGGAAGAAAAUGACGGUACCUGACUAAGAAGCCCCGGCUAUCGUCUU